This 255-nucleotide ribosomal RNA is filed under the name uncultured bacterium. RNAcentral describes it as "partial 16S ribosomal RNA". It matches the Rfam family "Bacterial small subunit ribosomal RNA", at positions 524 to 776 of the family's 1533-position model. The record is from RNAcentral.
UAUGGGGGGAGCAAGCGUUGUUCGGAUUUACUGGGCGUAAAGGGCGCGUAGGCGGCCACUGCAAGUCGGUUGUGAAAUCUCCGGGCUUAACCCGGAAAGGUCAAUCGAUACUGCAGGGCUAGAGUGCGGAAGGGGCAACUGGAAUUCUCGGUGUAGCGGUGAAAUGCGUAGAUAUCGAGAGGAACACCUGCGGCGAAGGCGGGUUGCUGGGCCGACACUGACGCUGACAGCGCGAAAGCUAGGGGAGCGAACGGG